GAUUGUGUGAGCAUAGUAAGCGGACUAUAGGCGAUAAGGUCUAUAGUCGAGAGGUCAACAGACCAGAUCUUAGGCUAAGGCCCCUAAACAAUACUAAGUUAAAAGAAUGUCAUAUUUCUGGGACAGUCAGGAGGUUGGCUUGGAAGCAGCCAUCCUUUAAAAAGUGCGUAACAGCUUACUGAUAUAUGUUAUGUGGCUUCAAAGAUGUAGAGGGUCUAAGUAUUGUGCCGAAGCCAAGAGGUGGACUGCGAGCGCAGUUCACCGGUAGCGGAGUAUUCUGUAAGUCGAAGAAGGAUAUUCGUGAGGAUAUCUGGAGAUAUCAGAAGAAAUGAUGCCGCCAUGAGUAACUAAAAGACAUGUGAAAUUCAUGUCCACCGAAAACCCAAGGUUUCCUUCUAAAGGAUCAUCCAAGAAGGGUUAGCCGGCACCUAAGGCGAGAGCGAAGGCUGUAGCCGAUGGACUAAUAGGUUAAUAUUCCUAUGCUUAGUCAUAAUGACGCUUCGGAAGCGAUGUAUAAAUUAUUGGUUAUUUUAUGCUACGCGACCGGGGACAAGAAAUAGUUAUGACAACGAAUAAGCCGUACCGCAAACCGACACAGGUGGGUUAGUAGAGAAUACUAAGGUGUUAGGAUAAUGAUGCUGAAGGAAUUCGGCAAAUUUCCUCCGUAACUUAGGGAAAAGGAGGGCCCAUGUAUGCUUCCCUGCAUAUGUAGGUGGCACUUAAAAGGAGGGAGCGACUGUUUAUCAAAAACACAGGACUAUGCGAAAUCGAAAGAUGAAGUAUAUGGUCUGAGGCCUGCCCAGUGUCUUAAGGUCAAACUGAAGUGUUUAAAAAGCAUGGAUGAUAAGCCAGGAUGAACGGCGGCAGUAACUAUAACUGUCUUAACGUAGCGAAAUUCCUUGUCGCGUAAUUUGCGACCUGCACGAAAGGUAUAACGACUCCCUCACUGUCUCCAGCAUCAACCUAGUGAAAUUUAAUUCUCCGUGCAAAUGCGGAGUACUUGCAGCUAGACAAAAAGUCCCCGGCACCUUUACUACAACUUUAUAUUGAUUUGGAAAUAUCAGUACGUAGAAUAGAGAGGAGUCUAUGAAGCAAAGAUUUAGGUCUUUGUGGAGACGAUAGUGAAAUACUUUCUAUUGAUAUUUUUGAACCUAACUUGACGCCAUGAAUCUGGUGCAAGGACAGUGUAUGGAUGGUAGUUUCGCUGGGGCGGCGACCUCCCAAAGAGUAACGGAGGUGCGCAUAAGGCAAGUUCAACCUGUGUAGAAAGCAGGUGCUGAGCGCAAUAGUAUAUACUUGCUUAACUGUGAGAGAGACAACUCGAACAGAGAUGAAAGUCGGCUAUAGUGAUCCUAUGGUUCCACAUGGUAGGGCCAUAGCUCAUCGGAUAAAAGGUACGCCGGGGAUAACAGCGUAAUAGCCUCUGAGAGUCCUUAUCGACGAGGCUGUUUGCGACCUCGAUGUCGGAUCAUCACAUCCUGGGGCUGAAGCAGGUCCCAAGGGUCCGUCUGUUCGCCGGUUAAAGUGGUACGUGAUCUGGGUUCAGAACGUCGUGAGACA
This 1560-nucleotide ribosomal RNA is filed under the name Polypedates megacephalus (Hong Kong whipping frog). RNAcentral describes it as "bacterial LSU rRNA". It matches the Rfam family "Bacterial large subunit ribosomal RNA", at positions 965 to 2628 of the family's 2925-position model. Lineage: Eukaryota; Metazoa; Chordata; Amphibia; Anura; Rhacophoridae. The record is from RNAcentral.